This is a long non-coding RNA of Strongylocentrotus purpuratus (purple sea urchin), 539 nucleotides long. RefSeq lists it as uncharacterized. The record is from RefSeq and is a predicted model, not a curated record. Lineage: Eukaryota; Metazoa; Echinodermata; Echinoidea; Camarodonta; Strongylocentrotidae. The transcript is spliced from 3 exons.
UUGCCUGAUCUGAUGACAAGACUUUCGCUGCAUGCAUAUUUAAUGUAUGACGUCACCCACACAGAGUGAGAGCUCGAAGUUUUCUUUGAAAGUUUGAUGGAAAAUGUACAGAGAUACUUGUCGCAGUUAAUGCAUGCAGUACCAAAUGCUUGCUUUCUGGGAGUAUGUGCUUGAAACAAGAAUGUCCUGGAGAAAACAGACCACCACAAGAGAAGACAUACAUGUACAGUAUGGACUAUGAAGUUCUACUUAGCCUCUUCAAUGAACUGCUGGAGCUGCGACUGGGUAUCAAAACCUUGGUAUUAUAAACUUCAUAACCAGUGGCGGAGAUAUGUUGUUAGCCAGGAGGGAGGGGUCAGUGCCCCCCCCCCACUUUUUCAAGUACCCCCAGUAUGCCCCUUUUAUGGCCUUUUCACAUAGGUAAAGUGCCAUAUUACUUUGACAAGUUCCCCUAUUAAUUUGUAAAAUUGCCCCUUCCCCAUUUCACCUCUGAUAAGUGCCCCUUAUCCUUCGACAAGUUCCCAUUAUUCUAUGCAAUA